GUCUUGCAGUAGCAUCCCUGGCUAGUUAAAUUUUCCUCAAGAAAAGCUCUCUAGUACAUUAUUUACACCAAGUUUGAGAAAAUCUACAUUGAGAUUAAAGCUGUUAAGAGGAGCAUAAAUAUUGAUGGUGGAGGAUGACGUCACUCGAGAAAGAGAUGCUAUUUUUGCUCCAGCUUCAAUGAACAUCUGAGCAGAUCGGACAAUGAGAGCUGACCUCCUCAUCAGUAAUUAGCAGCGGCGAAUUCCCCUGAGCUUCAAGGUCAAUUCCUCCACUGAUUUCUACACGGUUUAUAACACGCAUUGACGACCCUUUCCAUUGGUCUGAUAAAGACGGGAAAAAUGUUUAGGCUUUGUGGUGCUCUCUUUGUCACCGCUAAAUCGAAUGUGCCCAUGUAUGUAUAUAUUUUAUGGAAAAUAAGUUACUUUUCAUCUAUUUUUCUUGUAUUUGGUUAGGGUGCAAAAUAUAUUUUGUGAUUUAUUUUUUCAAUAUCUGGUUGGCGAAGAGGAAAGUAACAUCCUAAUAAUCCAACAGAACAUCAAGUCAAAGUUUGUCCAAAUCCAAGCCAAUUCCUCAUCCCAUUUGGUUAUUUUACAUUUUGGAUUAAACUAUGGCCUCCAUCAAUCCCAAUAUAUGAGUGUCUUUAUAUUGACAUGAAUAUGAAGGUGACAGUUAAAAUACAAGUGUA
Nicotiana tabacum (common tobacco) is the source of this 686-nucleotide non-coding RNA. Lineage: Eukaryota; Viridiplantae; Streptophyta; Magnoliopsida; Solanales; Solanaceae. The record is from RefSeq and is a predicted model, not a curated record.